ACUCCUACGGGAGGCAGCAGUGGGGAAUAUUGCACAAUGGGCGCAAGCCUGAUGCAGCCAUGCCGCGUGUGUGAAGAAGGCCUUCGGGUUGUAAAGCACUUUCAGUUGUGAGGAAGGUGGUGUCGUUAAUAGCGGCAUCAUUUGACGUUAGCAACAGAAGAAGCACCGGCUAACUCCGUGCCAGCAGCCGCGGUAAUACGGAGGGUGCGAGCGUUAAUCGGAAUUACUGGGCGUAAAGCGCAUGCAGGUGGUUUGUUAAGUCAGAUGUGAAAGCCCGGGGCUCAACCUCGGAAACUGCAUUUGAAACUGGCAGACUAGAGUACUGUAGAGGGGGGUAGAAUUUCAGGUGUAGCGGUGAAAUGCGUAGAGAUCUGAAAGGAAUACCGGUAGGCGAAAGGCGACCCCCUGGACAGAUACUGACACUCAG
This 427-nucleotide ribosomal RNA is filed under the name uncultured bacterium. RNAcentral's name for it is "bacterial SSU rRNA". It matches the Rfam family "Bacterial small subunit ribosomal RNA", at positions 335 to 750 of the family's 1533-position model. The record is from RNAcentral.